CUGGCCCCGCGCCUCCCGCCCAGUCCUGCGGAGCGGCCCCGGCCGUUGCUAACCCCCGCAUCUGGAAAAAGUGGCUUACCUCAGCGCUAAAGCGAUUACCUCAACAGAGAAAGCCGAACAACCGCGGUGCAGUGAUGACAGGCUCCCUGCCCGGAGGGAAGGGUUGGCUCUGUUCAUGGCUGCCCAGGUGCCGCAGCCUGGAGGCGCUUUUUGAGGCAAACGUGUGAAGAGAGGGACUGCUGACAUGCUAAAAUACAGUUUCCAGCCAACAAAGUUCUUUAUGGUUGAACUACUGAAAUUGUCAUCAAGGCAGACAACAAGCAAGUAAAAAAUAAUGGUUGAAGUUCUUGCAUAGAAGAUAGAAGCUGGAAUCCCCACAGGCACAGGCAAUGAAUAACUGGAUGUUACACUGUAAUCAAGUCAUGAGAUAAAAGAAGAAAUGCUUCCUCUUACAACAAUUUGGUGAAUAUAGUCUUUGUUUUCCUGUUUUUCCUAAUAUAUGAAAUAAAACCUUUUAUGUGGCUACAUAGAA
This is a long non-coding RNA of Rhea pennata, 532 nucleotides long. RefSeq lists it as uncharacterized. The transcript has 2 exons. The record is from RefSeq and is a predicted model, not a curated record. Lineage: Eukaryota; Metazoa; Chordata; Aves; Rheiformes; Rheidae.